Molecule: long non-coding RNA, 998 nt
Organism: Mustela lutreola (European mink)
Lineage: Eukaryota; Metazoa; Chordata; Mammalia; Carnivora; Mustelidae
Exons: 3
Source: RefSeq, a predicted model, not a curated record
AAGGCAAUGCCUGAGAGGAGCUGCAAACUCCGCGCCGGAGCCAGACACCAAAUAUAUCCAUUUUCUGCUUCUCCAGCAAGGCACCCAAGACGGCCUCCAGAGCCCUGGGUCCCUUCCCACCUGUGCCACAGGCUCUCCGCAGAUGCGUUCCAGGAGCCCAGGAUGCCAGAAGAUCUUUUGGAAGAAUGACAAGGAGCCUUUCAGGUUGACUUUGAAAAUGCCCCCAGGCUUUGAAAUGCCAGAUCCUGCCCUCCAGCAAACUCCUCCGACUCUGCUUCGCUUUUCCAAGAAACACCCAUUGUUCAUGAAGUCUAGUAAACCUAUCAGUCCCCGGGGCACCAUGCUAAUGCCAUGUCCUCCAAAAUCCUGUCCUGGUUUCAGCCUGAAAAGCUAUCCAGUCCUUAAAUUUUGUCAGCCUUUCACCUACACCUUCCUGGUGCUGCGGGGUACCGUCUGUUUCCUAUCACAGUUCUGCUCAGGGAUUGGGGGUAGGGGCUGUAUCUACAUUCUAUAACUCUCCCCACUUACAACAGAAGUUGCUAGUGUCCAUCAAAUAUUCCAUGUGUCCUCUAUUUUCCAAAUUCCCUUGCAAGACCUUAGGGUCAUAUGACUAGUUUGGGUCAACAAAUUAUAAGCAGGAGUGGCAGCUGUCACUUCUGGGCCAAGGGAUAAAAGCCAGUGUGCUUACCCAUCCUUCUCUUCCUUCCUGGAACUCUCACUGGUCACAUGUCCCCAGAAAGCUUCCAUCAGGGGCCCCUGAACGCCUAUGUGGGACAGACAACUCCCGGCCACCCUUGUUGGAUGUGUUACCUGAGCAAGAAAUAAACCUGUGUGCUGUUAAAGCUCUGGCAUUUCGGGACUGCUCUCACUUGAGGACAGUCUAGCUGAUCCUGACUGCUACACCACCACCCCCCUCCUUUUCAACCCUCUUUGCAGGAGACUUCGUACCUAGGAGAUAUUCAAUAUUCAAACGCCACAUGAACAAUAUACAGAAUUCU